GCCCUUCAAUUCUUAACUCCCCUCGCCUAUAUCUAAGGGGUCCGGCUUGACCGGACUAUGGCGAUAAACGGCUGUGUAAUAAGCGGACCGGACCCGGGGGCGGUACCCGGCGCCUCCACCACAAGCCCAUCCGGCCUCUUCAAAUGAGGCGGGAUGGGUUUCUGUGGGGGCGAAACAGGAUCGACGGACGUGUAAAGGCAGACCUUUUGCCCGGUAUUGUAUCCGCCGUCAUCGGGCUACUCGUACAGGUGCCAACGAUAACGAAAUGGCCCUCGCUGCCUAAUUAAUUAGGUAAGCGCGGUUUCGGUGGGUGCACCGAGCAACAGAAGCACCCACC
This 337-nucleotide transfer-messenger RNA is filed under the name Alphaproteobacteria bacterium 64-11. It matches the Rfam family "Alphaproteobacteria transfer-messenger RNA". Rfam says of the family: Bacterial tmRNA, also known as 10Sa RNA or SsrA, is named for its dual tRNA and mRNA-like properties. RNAcentral also lists the same sequence under 1 other name. Lineage: Bacteria; Pseudomonadati; Pseudomonadota; Alphaproteobacteria. The record is from RNAcentral.